This 423-nucleotide ribosomal RNA is filed under the name uncultured bacterium. RNAcentral's name for it is "bacterial SSU rRNA". It matches the Rfam family "Bacterial small subunit ribosomal RNA", at positions 207 to 622 of the family's 1533-position model. The record is from RNAcentral.
CAAGACCUGCACUUUUGGAGCGGCCGAUGUCUGAUUAGCUAGUUGGUGGGGUAAUGGCCUACCAAAGCUUCGAUCAGUAGCUGGUCUGAGAGGACGGCCAGCCACACUGGGACUGAGACACGGCCCAGACUCCUACGGGAGGCAGCAGUGGGGAAUUUUGGACAAUGGGCGCAAGCCUGAUCCAGCCAUGCCGCGUGAGUGAAGAAGGCCUUCGGGUUGUAAAGCUCUUUCAGCCGGGAAGAAAAGGUUGCGACUAAUAAUCGCAAUUCAUGACGGUACCGAAAGAAGAAGCACCGGCUAACUACGUGCCAGCAGCCGCGGUAAUACGUAGGGUGCGAGCGUUAAUCGGAAUUACUGGGCGUAAAGGGUGCGCAGGCGGUUUUGUAAGUCAGAUGUGAAAUCCCCGGGCUUAACCUAGGAACU